UAGGGAAUCUUCCGCAAUGUGCGAAAGCCUGACGGAGCAACGCCGCGUGAGUGAUGAAGGUCUUCGGAUCGUAAAACUCUGUUAUUAGGGAAGAACAAAUGUGUAAGUAACUAUGCACGUCUUGACGGUACCUAAUCAGAAAGCCACGGCUAACUACGUGCCAGCAGCCGCGGUAAUACGUAGGUGGCAAGCGUUAUCCGGAAUUAUUGGGCGUAAAGCGCGCGUAGGCCGUUUUUUAAGUCUGAUGUGAAAGCCCACGGCUCAACCGUGGAGGGUCAUUGGAAACUGGAAAACUUGAGUGCAGAAGAGGAAAGUGGAAUUCCAUGUGUAGCGGUGAAAUGCGCAGAGAUAUGGAGGAAAACCAGUGGCGAAGGCGACUUUCUGGUCUGUAACUGACGCUGAUGUGCGAAAGCGUGGGGAUCAAACAGG
Molecule: ribosomal RNA, 429 nt
Filed under: Actinomycetes bacterium
Lineage: Bacteria; Bacillati; Actinomycetota; Actinomycetes
Description: Actinobacteria bacterium partial 16S ribosomal RNA
Rfam family: Bacterial small subunit ribosomal RNA
Source: RNAcentral